UACGAAGGGGGCUAGCGUUGCUCGGAAUUACUGGGCGUAAAGGGAGCGUAGGCGGAUAGUUUAGUCAGAGGUGAAAGCCCAGGGCUCAACCUUGGAAUUGCCUUUGAUACUGGCUAUCUUGAGUACGGAAGAGGUAUGUGGAACUCCGAGUGUAGAGGUGAAAUUCGUAGAUAUUCGGAAGAACACCAGUGGCGAAGGCGACAUACUGGUCCGUUACUGACGCUGAGGCUCGAAAGCGUGGGGA
This 244-nucleotide ribosomal RNA is filed under the name uncultured bacterium. RNAcentral's name for it is "partial 16S ribosomal RNA". It matches the Rfam family "Bacterial small subunit ribosomal RNA", at positions 524 to 767 of the family's 1533-position model. The record is from RNAcentral.